GACAUGACUCUCGGCAAUGGAUAUCUCGGCUCUCGCAUCGAUGAAGAGCGCAGCGAAAUGCGAUACGUGGUGCGAAUUGCAGAAUCCCGCGAACCAUCGAGUCUUUGAACGCAAGUUGCGCCUGAGGCCAUCCGGCCAAGGGCACGUCUGCCUGGGCGUCAAGC
Molecule: ribosomal RNA, 164 nt
Filed under: Phaius tancarvilleae
Lineage: Eukaryota; Viridiplantae; Streptophyta; Magnoliopsida; Asparagales; Orchidaceae
Also listed under: 2 other names
Description: 5.8S ribosomal RNA
Rfam family: 5.8S ribosomal RNA
About the family: 5.8S ribosomal RNA (5.8S rRNA) is a component of the large subunit of the eukaryotic ribosome. It is transcribed by RNA polymerase I as part of the 45S precursor that also contains 18S and 28S rRNA. Functionally, it is thought that 5.8S rRNA may be involved in ribosome translocation.
Source: RNAcentral